GACGAACGCUGGCGGCGUGCCUAACACAUGCAAGUCGAACGAAGCAUUUGAAUGGAUCUCUUCGGAGUGAAGCUCUUAUGACUUAGUGGCGGACGGGUGAGUAACGCGUGAGUAACCUGCCUUUCAGAGGGGGAUAACAGUUGGAAACGACUGCUAAUACCGCAUAACGUAUCGGAACCGCAUGAUUCUGAUACCAAAGCUGAGGCGCUGAAAGAUGGACUCGCGUCUGAUUAGAUAGUUGGUGAGGUAACGGCUCACCAAGUCGACGAUCAGUAGCCGGACUGAGAGGUUGGACGGCCACAUUGGGACUGAGACACGGCCCAGACUCCUACGGGAGGCAGCAGUGGGGAAUAUUGCACAAUGGGCGCAAGCCUGAUGCAGCGAUGCCGCGUGAGGGAAGAAGGUUUUAGGAUUGUAAACCUCUGUCUUCAGGGAC
RNAcentral lists this ribosomal RNA (436 nucleotides) under uncultured bacterium. RNAcentral describes it as "bacterial SSU rRNA". It matches the Rfam family "Bacterial small subunit ribosomal RNA", at positions 28 to 446 of the family's 1533-position model. The record is from RNAcentral.